RNAcentral lists this transfer RNA (63 nucleotides) under Romanomermis iyengari. RNAcentral describes it as "tRNA-Asn". Lineage: Eukaryota; Metazoa; Nematoda; Enoplea; Mermithida; Mermithidae. The record is from RNAcentral.
AAUUGAUUAUUUUUAAACAAAGAAUAUAAAAUUGUUAAUUUUAUUAAAAAGUUUAAAAGAUUU